GCAUGACCCUCCCCCGUUUUCCUCCGUGAAAUGCAGUAAUUGCAUACAUUUCUGCCUGUCUCUAAAGCAUAAAUGGAUUUAUACUAUAGUAUUGGUGCAGUAAUGCAAGAUAUUGGAUUACAUAUGUCAGAAAACGAACUAGUAGCCAGUUGUUGUUGCCCAUGGUGAAAUAAUAUCAAACCCACAGACUCCUGAAGCACAUAUGUCCCACACGAACUCCCGAGUCUAGUUAGCAUUUCGCUACCUAGCUAGGCUGUUUUAUGACAAAACGGAUGAUCUGAAUCAAACACUAACGACUCAGAGUGCCCUUCUUACGGAAGGAAAUGUCGACUCCCGGAACACUUAAAACAAAGUAACUGUACUACUGUAGCCAACACUCUUAUUUUCUAAGACAAGUGAAGAAACGCGUAGUUUCCACAAUGGAUCCGUUUUCUCAGAGCCUGAUGAGGAGAGGUAUGUAUGUAUGUAUGUAUGUAUGUGUGUGUGUGUGUUAUGUAUGUAUGCAUGCAUGCAUGCAUGCAUGCAUGCUCCGGUCUUUUGAAUGCACAUGUUCACAAAUGCACAAGAGACAAGCACAAGUUAUAUCGUCACUGAUUUACUGUUGCAUUGCUGUUUAUAUGAAUAUAUAUUCAUGUGAAUGGGAAUCAUGUUCCGAGUGCAACUUUGCAAGGCUAGCCCAGCUACCGUUAGCCUUGUUGCGGGAGAGGGUCUCUUUCAGGUGCAGACAUCUUGAGUUUUCUGGUGAUUUUCUCACGGGCAUUCUGCACUGUCUUUUGUCUUUUAUCAGGCAAAUAUACUUGUAA
RNAcentral lists this long non-coding RNA (803 nucleotides) under Oncorhynchus kisutch (coho salmon). Its description in RNAcentral is "lncRNA (ENSOKIG00005044619.1)". Lineage: Eukaryota; Metazoa; Chordata; Actinopteri; Salmoniformes; Salmonidae. The record is from RNAcentral.